GGCUCGCUGGUCUAGGGAUAUGAUUCUCGCUUUGAGAGCGAGAGGUCCCGGGUUCAAAUCCCGGAUGAGCCC
This 72-nucleotide transfer RNA is filed under the name Danionella translucida. It matches the Rfam family "tRNA". From Rfam's summary of the family: Transfer RNA (tRNA) molecules are approximately 80 nucleotides in length. Their secondary structure includes four short double-helical elements and three loops (D, anti-codon, and T loops). Lineage: Eukaryota; Metazoa; Chordata; Actinopteri; Cypriniformes; Danionidae. RNAcentral also lists the same sequence under 1 other name. The record is from Rfam by way of RNAcentral.